CUUUAAGGCUUCUUACCCUCAGAGCUUGCUAGCUGGGGAAGCACCAGGACAACCACCCUGACACUGAUUUUGGGUGGAAGUUUCAGAAACCUCUGCAGACUUGACCAUUGCUCACUGGGAGGCUUUUCCCUAGGGUGGCAGAUGGUGGGACAUUCAUUGGAAAGCUCCUCUUGUGCAUCUUCCUGAAGGCUGCGUGGUGGUCAGCACACUCCUGCUUCACUGCAUAGCACUUCACAGAUUUCUCUGCACUACAGGGGUGAUGGCAGUCUUCCUUCUCAGCGUCCUGAUGCCCAGAAAUAAGACUCUUUUGUCACCUUCCAUGAAUCUGCGCUAUCUCAGUGCAGUAAAAAGUUUAUUCAGAGAAUGAAGCUCAUCACAUGUCUCUCAAUUGUCUGCAUAUUUUUUGGUUGCAUCCGAUUUCUUUUAAGGUUUUGCCAGGAUCUUUGGGACAAGCCAUGAAGAAGAGACAAGAAGUUUUCUGUUCCAGAAAGUCUGCAGACCAAACCCAGUAGCUUAUUUAUUUCUUUG
Molecule: long non-coding RNA, 528 nt
Organism: Cygnus olor (mute swan)
Lineage: Eukaryota; Metazoa; Chordata; Aves; Anseriformes; Anatidae
Exons: 3
Source: RefSeq, a predicted model, not a curated record